This 456-nucleotide unclassified non-coding RNA is filed under the name Hevea brasiliensis (rubber tree). The record is from RNAcentral. Lineage: Eukaryota; Viridiplantae; Streptophyta; Magnoliopsida; Malpighiales; Euphorbiaceae.
GUGGAAAAUUCGGAAAUAUUGGGGAAGGGGAUAGUAUAGGGGAGUUCGCUGUGGAAGGAAGAUCACCAUCAUCUGUGUGGGAAAUGGUUUCCCAGACUCUUCUGCAAGCAUGCAUUGAUGCUUAUAAGAAAAAGGGUGUCAUCCAAUUCUGCUGUACUCAUGAUGUAUAUAAAAUGGACAAACAAGAGUCAAGUGAAGUUGGUUCAUUGACCAAAUUCUCUUACUUAGGUGCCCCUCCCAAUUUUCCAAGAUUAGUGCAGAGCAAUUCCGAGUUAAAAAGUACUUGUGAAAUGUUAGUGAAGUGGUUAGAGCAAAACCGAAUUGGACUUGAUGUAGAUUUUGUGCAAGAAAUUAUUGAACAGCUUCCUGGUGUAUCUGCGUGCUCAAAUUAUAAAAUUGUUACCAAGAGAAAACACAAGACAACUCUGCAAACAGUUGGAAAUGGGUUCCUGCAGG